CCUANGGGUGGCAGCAGUAGGGAAUAUUAGUUAAUGUGCGAAAGCGCGAACUAGCAACGCCGCGUGCACGAUGAAGGCCUUCGGGUCGUAAAGUGCUUUUUGAAGGGAUGAGAAAGGACAGUACCUUCAGAAUAAGUCUCGGCUAACUACGUGCCAGCAGCCGCGGUAAAACGUAGGAGGCGAGCGUUAUCCGGAUUUACUGGGUGUAAAGCGCGUGCAGGCGGUUUGGUAAGUUGGAUGUGAAAGCUCCUGGCUUAACUGGGAGAGGUCGUUCAAAACUACCAGACUUGAGGGCGGUAGAGGGAGGUGGAAUUCCGUGUGUAGUGGUGAAAUGCGUAGAUAUACGGAGGAACACCAGUGGCGAAAGCGGCCUCCUAGACCGAUCCUGACGCUCAGACGCGAAAGCUAGGGUAGCAAACGGGAUUAGAUACCCCANUANUC
Molecule: ribosomal RNA, 441 nt
Filed under: uncultured bacterium
Lineage: Bacteria
Description: bacterial SSU rRNA
Rfam family: Bacterial small subunit ribosomal RNA
Source: RNAcentral